CGUGCUGGUGCAUCGAACUGCUUCCCUCACUUUCGAUCAGUUGUUGCUCCGCGAGCUAAACGUCGGACGCAAGAUGUGGGUUCCUGUGUUGCAUACCUAUUGCGACGGAAAUGUGUGCCUUCGGUAGUCCCUUCCAUCAUGACGUCCUCUUGGAUGCUCGGUUGGACCGGAUAGUGGGGCUCGUGUUCCACGAACGUCGUCUCAUUCGAUCGUUCGGAUGGAYCACGAGUGCCUACUCGUUCUCUCGGAUGCGGAACUCUCAUAAUGGGAGUGGGGUCAUUGGCCCUUGUUCCCUAAUCGUUAAGCGUUUAUCGCUUCACCCGAAUGACGAUCUUGCCUUGUCCUUGAUCGCGYGAAGCCCUCGGGCAUCGCGAUGGAUCAUGCUCGGCGGACGUCGUGAAGGAAUGC
Molecule: unclassified non-coding RNA, 408 nt
Filed under: Eucalyptus deglupta
Lineage: Eukaryota; Viridiplantae; Streptophyta; Magnoliopsida; Myrtales; Myrtaceae
Description: partial external transcribed spacer
Source: RNAcentral